GGCCUGAUGUUUGCUCGCUCUGAUGCAUGCUCUCCCUCUUCCGGUGCCCAGUAGCAGCAGCCCAGGCUCACAUGCUAAAACAUGGUGCGUAUUCGAUGGAGUGCUUUUGCUUCUUGUACAAAUAUUACAUGUAUCUAGACGUUUUUUAAAAUAGAUACGUCCAUUUUUAGACAAAUUUAAGACAAGAAUUAUGAAACAUAUGUAGUAACUUAUAAACAUGUGACGGGUAUGUUUUCAUUCGAUUCGAAGAAAAGAUUUUUUUUUCUUUCCUUUUCCGCUUCAUGUAGCAAUCACGCUGCAUCCGGCGAGCGUUCAAUCAAUGAUCUAUCUAUCAGGCGAUCCACUGGAGGGUUGCCGCAUGCGGCCGUCCGUCUCCUGCUGCCCAUCAUUUUGUUGAGGAACCGGCCGGGGGUGGUGGUCCGCGGCGGCGUACGUCACACUUGUCACGCCGGUCCGGCGUCGGUGACCCACGGGCACGAGCACGGACCACGGCCUCGGCAAUUAUUGAAGCC
This 512-nucleotide long non-coding RNA is filed under the name Brachypodium distachyon (stiff brome). RNAcentral describes it as "long non-coding RNA (BDIS_LNC003725)". The record is from RNAcentral. Lineage: Eukaryota; Viridiplantae; Streptophyta; Magnoliopsida; Poales; Poaceae.